Molecule: transfer RNA, 67 nt
Filed under: Heterocephalus glaber (naked mole-rat)
Lineage: Eukaryota; Metazoa; Chordata; Mammalia; Rodentia; Bathyergidae
Rfam family: tRNA
About the family: Transfer RNA (tRNA) molecules are approximately 80 nucleotides in length. Their secondary structure includes four short double-helical elements and three loops (D, anti-codon, and T loops). Further hydrogen bonds mediate the characteristic L-shaped molecular structure. tRNAs have two regions of fundamental functional importance: the anti-codon, which is responsible for specific mRNA codon recognition, and the 3' end, to which the tRNAs corresponding amino acid is attached (by aminoacyl-tRNA synthetases). tRNAs cope with the degeneracy of the genetic code in two manners: having more than one tRNA (with a specific anti-codon) for a particular amino acid; and 'wobble' base-pairing, i.e. permitting non-standard base-pairing at the 3rd anti-codon position.
Source: Rfam by way of RNAcentral
GGGGAUGUGGCUCAGUGGUAGAGUGCUUACUUAACGUGUGGCCCUGGGUUCCAUCCCAGCAUAGCCA